Molecule: non-coding RNA, 28 nt
Filed under: Cricetulus griseus (Chinese hamster)
Lineage: Eukaryota; Metazoa; Chordata; Mammalia; Rodentia; Cricetidae
Source: RNAcentral
ACAAUCAGAGAUGCUCAGACUGGAAGGG